This 5147-nucleotide long non-coding RNA is filed under the name Mus musculus (house mouse). RNAcentral's name for it is "long non-coding RNA chr10:69696959-69702106". The record is from RNAcentral. Lineage: Eukaryota; Metazoa; Chordata; Mammalia; Rodentia; Muridae.
AUACAUACAUGCUCCUUGUGAGUAUAUGCACAGAGAUAUAUAUGCUCAUGUAUGCGCGAAUGUCACAUGCUUCAGGCUGUACCUCAUUGUCCCUCUUUAUUUCUCAGAGACCUUACAAAUAGUUUGCCAGUAAUUGUGUGGAGUCUGAGAACGCAGCAAGUCACCAGCCCUGAGCCAGCUCCAGCCUUGCUUCCAAAUACAGUCUGAGUGCAAAGAAUAAAACUUGUAUUUAUCAAUGGUUAAGAACAGAUCACAAAGUAAUACUAGUGACACGUGACACUUAUAUUUGUGGGAUUUGAUUGGGUCAGAGCUAAACCUACCACUUAGUACCUCUGGCUGCAUUGGCAUCAACAGCAGAGUCCAGCAGGCCUCCAAGUCCACCUGGCUAGCCGAGACGAGGCCUGCCUCACCCUUAGGAAAUGUGUUUGCUAACCUUCUUAAAAGAGUCAAAUAUUAAAUACUACAAAAAUCCACCUCAACCAAACAAGAGCCCCUCGUGGUUGAAAAGCACUGGAUCCUCUCAUGCGACCUCCUCAGAGAGAAGUUAGGAAAGAGAACGAUCUAUCUCAAAUUUUAUCUUCUGCACACCAAGCGUGGUGGCACAUGCGUGGAAAUCCCAGGACUUGGGAGGCAGUGCUCAGGAGGAUCAGACAUGCAGAGUUAUCCUCAGUUACAUAGCAAGUGCCGUGGGCUACAUGAAAUCCUGCCUCAAUAAAAAGUCUCUAAUAGUUUUUUUUUUUUUUAAUAGCUUCGUAACAUGUCAGGGAAAGGCAAGUAAGAAGCUAGAAAGUUGUAGAGAGUGUCAUAUGAAUCUUAGAGAUUUAUUUUUGUUUUUUAAUUUGUGGUAUGUGUGUGUGUGCGUGUGUGUGUCCACAGAGUCCAAAAAAAUGUCAGAUCCACCUGGAUCUGGUGUUACAGAUGGUUGUGAGCUGCCAUGUGGGUGCUGGGACCUGAACUCUGGCCCUCUGCAAGAGCGGCAAAAGUAUUUAAGCACUGAGUCAUGCCCAGCCCUAUCAUGUGAAUCGUAAUUGCUCUGGUUGACAGCGUGCCUUCUGUAGUAACACAGGAUAGAAAGCCUACUGAGAUUUGACGGUUCAUGGGAUGCAUAGGAGCUCUGAAUACCCCAAGUGUGCUAAGGAUCGAAGUAUCCACCCAUGUCAGCAUCAGUCAGUGCUUCAUGUACAAGGUUUGCUUUCUGUGACACUCAGGGUUUAUAGACAUCCACUACUGAAGCUUGCUGCUAAGAUAGGAAAGUCACAAGUUGCCACGUCUUACAAAGACAAAGCUAUAUAUACACUGCCAAUAGUGCUUCCUAUGGCUGUGAGUGUUGCAGCUAAGACAACAGAAAGAUUUGUUUGCUGAGAGGACAAUCUUCACAGGCUGACUUGAAAUGUGUUUUAUAGUUAGGGAUGGCUUUGAACUCCUGAUUUUCUAGCCUCCACCUUCUGAGUAUUGGGGUGCCAGAUAUAUACCAAUACAUUUAUCUUUUUGGGUUCUGGGGAUCAAACCCAGGACCUAUGCAUGCUAGGCAAGCACCCUAUCACCUGAUCUACAUGCCCAGUUCCAGCAUAUCUAUAAAACAUAAAUCCAUGUGUCUCACACUUUGAUCUAGACUUGUGCCUAGGCUUUGUGUGACAUUUGACUGACUGCCUUUAUAUGGCAUAGUGUCUCUCUCUCUCUUAGUCUUACCUACCACUGUAUGAACAGCCUUGCCAAUCAACUGAUUAAACGUUCUAUUGUCUAGAAGCAGAACCCAUUUCUUGCAGUGUGUCUCCCCCUCUUCUACACAGGGUUGGGAAAUGAUCACUGUUGUCUUGGGUUCAAUAUAAGAUUUCCUUCUUUUGUCCAAGCUGGUCUUACAUUCACCAACUCUCUGCUGCCUCUGCCUCCCCAGUGCUGGGCUUGAAGGCUUCUGCCAAUACACCCAGCAGGCCACCAGCUUUCUGACUCUUCAAAUCUGUCCCUUCACACCUGUGCCAUCAGCUAAAUAGUUCCCUUGAAAGUCAGCUGACCUUGCCUGCAUCUUGAUUGGAGAACAACAGGGAACGGACACACAUGUCAAUUUUCAAAGUCCAUGAUGGGAAAGAAACUUCACUGUGCAGCUAGGAAAGCAGGAAGUGAGGUGCACAGAGGGUGUUCCCUCAUAUCUCACAGUUACUUGGAACAAAGUUGGGAGAACAUGCUGUUUUGGCCACAUGCAUGGCCUUUCCUUUUUGGUGACUUUGGAUUUAUUGUAUAAACACUAAAGAUCUCUGAGCUUGGUGGGGGAAAAAAUUAAAGAAAUCCCACACUUGAAUUUUGCUACAAAGGAGACGUGUUUCCACAAACACACAGGAAAUGCAUUGCAUGACUUGAUGGUCCUGCUCCAUCAGUGUCUUUGAAAUUAUCACUGAAGGGUUGGUGGGUGAACAUGAUAACUUUAAUUGUUCAGAGAAGAGACAGAAAUGUCUGAUGUCCAUCUUCCGUAACAACAUCAGGAUCUGAAAAGCCAUCAAUUUACUAUCAAAUAAUUUUCUCAGUGGAACGAUUCCCUGGUGAAUUACCACCUGAACGGAGUAGAAUGCUUAGUAAACUGGUGCUUGUCACCAUCUUGGUUUGUUUCUGUUGGGAAUCUAAGGAGGACAGGGGGCAAGGGGCAGAUCUAUGAGCAGUCCUCUACCCAGGCACUUUGAGUCCAGCAUUUCUUAGGAACAUUUUUUAAACUAUCUGAUAUUGUCACAUCGUCUUCUUGCUUAGAGCCACACACACACCCCCACUGACCUCCUAACUCACAAGACUAGAAUGUUCUGAGAAUGAAUUUUGUCUAUCUUAUAUGCCAUUGUAGCACCUGCAUAAAGGGGAUAAAGGGUGCUCUCUGUCACAUGUGAGUGUGUGGCUACAUUGACUGGGGUGUGAAGAGUUAAUUCAUAGAGUUGGGACUGGGGAAAGGCCCGAAUUCCUGACCUAUAAAAUAAUGCUUUGAGAGCUGGCCUGUGAUUCUGUCCUGUCCACCCUGCCUCUGCUUCCACGGGGCCUCAUUGUGUGCCACCUUUUAAAAUUACUGUAUAUUUGUUUCAUCGUUUUCUCUCAUUGAUACGUAAGGGACCACAUCUUAUUCUGUGUAUAUGACCCAGGGACCAGACAUAGGACCAGCACAGGGUGUAACUGGGGUUUGGAGAGGGAGGGUCACAUGACCAAUGUGUGAGUAGUGCCUGGUUAGCCAAGUGCCUGGAAAUCAGGAUAUGAGUUUAACUCAAGAACUUCCUAGUAUCUGCUCUUGUGCUCUUGGUCACUCUUUGAGGUACACUGAUACUGCUAUCCACCAUAGGUGUGAAAUAAACCAGGUAAAUGUUCCAUUCUCCAGAAACAAAAACCUCCCCUUUCUAUGUAUUCACACUUAUAGAGUCUGCAAAUGCUAGAGGCAGGCGCAGGCCAGCUGCUUCUUAUUUCUCUAUUUCCUUAUUUAUUUUUUAGAACAGGGUCUCGAAGUGUAGCCCAGGCUGACAUCAUACUCACAAUCUUUUUCUCUCUAGUUCUUGAGUUCCGGGCUAGUUAGUACUGUUUUAUAGAGUGAGCACGUGCUCCCUUCUUGAGAGAGUGCGUAAUGACAGCUAAGUAUCCUUUGACGCUUGUUUUUGGGUCAUAUGUACUUAGAGGAAUACAACUUCUGACAAACCGGGUCCUCUCUUUGUAGAUACAAAUGAAUCUCGCUUGCGUAAACUACUUCUGUUCUGUAGAGAUAGAAAAUCCCAGGCAAGUCAUUUCUUCAUGGUACAUUUUGCAAGGGAGAAACUCUACUUUGAUUAACUCAGUGGCAACCUAGAUCAGGUGGGGACAAUUAUUUUGAUAAUUUACAUUUUCUUAAGCUUAAGCCUUAAAACAUGGAUCUGUAUUUUAUUUCAUGGAACUUAAGGAGAGUAAACUGACGUGUAAAAAUUGCCCCAUAUAUGCUGGGUGUGUUCAAGUCCCUGAAUAGAGUAUAGGUUGUAAACUUGAACUUUUUAAGUAAAUUAAAAACUACCAUCUCUAGCUGUUCAGACCCAGCAGCUACCUAUGUGUUCAGACAGCAGCUGAUGAGUUCAGGUUAGGAUGUCUGCUUAAAUAGACCAUCCCUAGAUAGCUUCUUUUAUUUAAAACAUCCAGUGACUUCUGUCACCUAAAUGGAGAGCAUUCAGGAGUAGUGAGCUGGUAUCUUUGAAGUCUUCUGGUCUGCUUCCUCCUCCUGUGGGAACCCAGAGAAGAAAAGGCUGUCAGAUUGGUUCUGUUUGCGUACCACCCCUCUCGCCCGCUAAGCAUUCAUUGCUCUGCCUGGUACUACCAGUGACCUCUUUCAAGUGGGCAGACACCAGGGGUGUGGCUUCGGGGCCUUCCUCCUGCAUUUAAGAUCCCCCAUCCCCGUGCUGGCCUGUGUGUCUGUGAUGGGAAGAUGAUAGGGGAAGUCAUCCCCUGUGUAUCUGUCCUCAUCUGCCUGUGUGAGGUCACUGAGGCAGCUGGCGUGCUUGGGACAGCUGGCUCUCUCUGCAGUGCUGAGGUCAGCCCCAGUGAGUUGAAUGGACUGUCUUCUCAAGGGAUGGAGGGUAGAGCCAGGGCAAAGACAGAUGGUACCAAGGCCAGUGCUGGUGGGCCACAGGUGUCGCUCCCCAGGAGGAACACAGCCAGGGAGUCCUUCAGAGAUACCCUGCCUUGCCUCUCACACCCUUUAAAAAGCACAUCGCCUGUUUCAUUUGCAGAUGAAGAGUGAGCGUGGCUGAGUUUGGAAUUUGCCAGGGUGGGUCCUCACUGCUUGCUUUCUUGUUUCUCCACAUCAUUCUCUAUUUAGAAUGCCAAACUUAAUGAAAUAAAAAUGGGUCCAUUUUUCUUUGUGAGGGAACAAUAUUUUAACUUUGUUAGGAUGAGCUCACACUAUUUAUGAAUAACAGGGAUAUAGACUCAUCAGGAAUACUGUUCACGCCAUCUGAGCAGACAGAUCACUACUGACAACCUGAAGUCAAGCUGGCAGUACCAAUUGAAUCUAGUCUCCAUUACCCUAUAGUAUAUGUAUAGAGAACUGUAUCGAUUCUAUACGCUCCCCAGCUUCUAUACCUCCACUGCACAAUAUCUCUUUGAAGGUCAGUUCUGGGAGGAAUCGGAGAUGUGUUUAUGAUCAAAAUACAUUGUACGAAAUUCUC